AACGAACGCUGGCGGCAUGCCUAACACAUGCAAGUCGAACGAGACCUUCGGGCCUAGUUGCGCACGGGUGCGUAACGCGUGGGAACCUGCCCUUAGGUUCGGAAUAACUCCCCGAAAGGUGUGCUAAUACCGGAUAAUGUCUUCGGACCAAAGAUUUAUCGCCUUUGGGUGGGCGCGUGUUGGAUUAGCUGGUUGGUAGGGGAAAAGCCGACCAAGGCGACGAUGCAUAGCUGGUCUGAGAGGAUGAUCAGCCACACUGGGACUGAGACACGGCCCAGACUGGUACGGGAGGCAGCAGUGGGGAAUAUUGGACGAUGGGCGAAAGCCUGAUCCAGCAAUGCCGCGUGAGUGAUGAAGGCGUUAGGGUUGUAAAGCUCUUUUACACGGGAUGAUAAUGACAGUACCGGGAGAAUAAGCUCCGGCUAACUCCGUG
This 433-nucleotide ribosomal RNA is filed under the name uncultured bacterium. RNAcentral describes it as "partial 16S ribosomal RNA". It matches the Rfam family "Bacterial small subunit ribosomal RNA", at positions 29 to 507 of the family's 1533-position model. The record is from RNAcentral.